GAUGAACGCUGGCGGCGUGCCUAAUACAUGCAAGUCGAGCGAACGGACGAGAAGCUUGCUUCUCUGAUGUUAGCGGCGGACGGGUGAGUAACACGUGGAUAACCUACCUAUAAGACUGGGAUAACUUCGGGAAACCGGAGCUAAUACCGGAUAAUAUUUUGAACCGCAUGGUUCAAAAGUGAAAGACGGUCUUGCUGUCACUUAUAGAUGGAUCCGCGCUGCAUUAGCUAGUUGGUAAGGUAACGGCUUACCAAGGCAACGAUGCAUAGCCGACCUGAGAGGGUGAUCGGCCCCACUGGAGCUGAGACACGGUCCAGACUCCUACGGGAGGCAGCAGUAGGGAAUCUUCCGCAAUGGGCGAAAGCCUGACGGAGCAACGCCGCGUGAGUGAUGAAGGUCUUCGGGUCGUAAAACUCUGUUAUUAGGGAAGAACAUAUGUGUAAGUAACUGUGCACAUCUUGACGGUACCUAAUCAGAAAGCCACGGCUAACUACGU
Molecule: ribosomal RNA, 496 nt
Filed under: uncultured bacterium
Lineage: Bacteria
Description: partial 16S ribosomal RNA
Rfam family: Bacterial small subunit ribosomal RNA
Source: RNAcentral